RNAcentral lists this ribosomal RNA (491 nucleotides) under uncultured bacterium. RNAcentral describes it as "partial 16S ribosomal RNA". It matches the Rfam family "Bacterial small subunit ribosomal RNA", at positions 29 to 506 of the family's 1533-position model. The record is from RNAcentral.
AGUGAACGCUGGCGGUAGGCCUAACACAUGCAAGUCGAACGGCAGCACAGUAAGAGCUUGCUCUUACGGGUGGCGAGUGGCGGACGGGUGAGGAAUACAUCGGAAUCUACUUUUUCGUGGGGGAUAACGUAGGGAAACUUACGCUAAUACCGCAUACGACCUACGGGUGAAAGCAGGGGAUCUUCGGACCUUGCGCGAUUGAAUGAGCCGAUGUCGGAUUAGCUAGUUGGCGGGGUAAAGGCCCACCAAGGCGACGAUCCGUAGCUGGUCUGAGAGGAUGAUCGGCAAAACGGGACCGGGAAAAGGGUCCAGACCCCAAGGGGGGGCAGAAGUGGGGAAUUUUGGAAAAGGGGGGCAAGCCUGACCCAGCCAUCCCGGGGGGGUGAAGAAGGCCUUGGGGUUGUAAAGCCCUUUUUUGGGGAAAGAAAAGCAGCAGGUUAACACCCCGCUGUUCUGACGGUACCAAAAGAAUAAGCACCGGCUAACUUCGG